RNAcentral lists this ribosomal RNA (255 nucleotides) under uncultured bacterium. RNAcentral's name for it is "partial 16S ribosomal RNA". It matches the Rfam family "Bacterial small subunit ribosomal RNA", at positions 524 to 776 of the family's 1533-position model. The record is from RNAcentral.
UACGUAGGGGGCGAGCGUUGUCCGGAAUCAUUGGGCGUAAAGAGCGUGUAGGUGGCUUGGAAAGUCUUACGUGAAAGCCUGCGGCUCAACCGCAGAAGUGCGUGGGAAAUACCUCGCUAGAGUCCGGAAGAGGAGAGCGGAAUUCCUGGUGUAGCGGUGGAAUGCGCAGAUAUCAGGAGGAACACCCGUGGCGAAGGCGGCUCUCUGGGGACGGUACUGACACUGAGACGCGAAAAGCGUGGGGGAGCGAACAGG